AACGAACGCUGGCGGCAUGCCUAACACAUGCAAGUCGAACGAGACCUUCGGGUCUAGUGGCGCACGGGUGCGUAACGCGUGGGAACCUGCCUUUAGGUUCGGAAUAACUCAGAGAAAUUUGAGCUAAUACCGGAUGAUGUCUUCGGACCAAAGAUUUAUCGCCUUUAGAUGGGCCCGCGUUGGAUUAGCUAGUUGGUGGGGUAAAGGCCUACCAAGGCGACGAUCCAUAGCUGGUCUGAGAGGAUGAUUAGCCACACUGGGACUGAGACACGGCCCAGACUCCUACGGGAGGCAGCAGUGGGGAAUAUUGGACAAUGGGCGAAAGCCUGAUCCAGCAAUGCCGCGUGAGUGAUGAAGGCCUUAGGGUUGUAAAGCUCUUUUACCCGAGAUGAUAAUGACAGUAUCGGGAGAAUAAGCUCCGGCUAACUCCGUG
This 433-nucleotide ribosomal RNA is filed under the name uncultured bacterium. Its description in RNAcentral is "partial 16S ribosomal RNA". It matches the Rfam family "Bacterial small subunit ribosomal RNA", at positions 29 to 507 of the family's 1533-position model. The record is from RNAcentral.